Molecule: ribosomal RNA, 879 nt
Filed under: uncultured bacterium
Lineage: Bacteria
Description: bacterial SSU rRNA
Rfam family: Bacterial small subunit ribosomal RNA
Source: RNAcentral
UAGAGUUUGAUCCUGGCUCAGGACGAACGCUGGCGGCGUGCUUAACACAUGCAAGUCGAACGAAGCUUGAUUACAGAUUCUUCGGAUGAAGUAUGAUAUGACUGAGUGGCGGACGGGUGAGUAACGCGUGAGUAACCUGCCCUUCAGAGGGGGAUAGCGUUUGGAAACGAACGGUAAUACCGCAUAAAGUAUUUUGACCGCAUGAUCGAAAUACCAAAGAUUUAUCGCUGAAGGAUGGACUCGCGUCUGAUUAGGUAGUUGGUGGGGUAACGGCCUACCAAGCCGACGAUCAGUAGCCGGACUGAGAGGUUGAUCGGCCACAUUGGGACUGAGACACGGCCCAGACUCCUACGGGAGGCAGCAGUGGGGAAUAUUGCACAAUGGGCGCAAGCCUGAUGCAGCAACGCCGCGUGAAGGAAGACGGUUUUCGGAUUGUAAACUUCUGUUCUUAGUGAAGAAUAAUGACGGUAGCUAAGGAGCAAGCCACGGCUAACUACGUGCCAGCAGCCGCGGUAAUACGUAGGUGGCAAGCGUUGUCCGGAAUUACUGGGUGUAAAGGGAGCGCAGGCGGGUGAUCAAGUCAGCUGUGAAAACUACGGGCUUAACCCGUAGACUGCAGUUGAAACUGUUCAUCUUGAGUGAAGUAGAGGUUGGCGGAAUUCCGAGUGUAGCGGUGAAAUGCGUAGAUAUUCGGAGGAACACCGGUGGCGAAGGCGGCCAACUGGGCUUUAACUGACGCUGAGGCUCGAAAGUGUGGGGAGCAAACAGGAUUAGAUACCCUGGUAGUCCACACUGUAAACGAUGAUUGCUAGGUGUGGGGGGUCUGACCCCUUCCGUGCCGGAGCUAACGCAAUAAGCAAUCCACCUGGGGAGUACGAC